UACAGAGGGGGCAAGCGUUGUUCGGAAUUACUGGGCGUAAAGGGCGCGUAGGCGGCCUCCUAAGUCGAACGGGAAAUCCCCGGGCUCAACCCGGGAACUGCGUCCGAUACUGGGAGGCUUGAAUCCGGGAGAGGGAUGUGGAAUUCCAGGUGUAGCGGUGAAAUGCGUAGAUAUCUGGAGGAACACCGGUGGCGAAGGCGGCAUCCUGGACCGGUAUUGACGCUGAGGCGCGAAAGCCAGGGGAGCAAACGGG
This 253-nucleotide ribosomal RNA is filed under the name uncultured bacterium. Its description in RNAcentral is "partial 16S ribosomal RNA". It matches the Rfam family "Bacterial small subunit ribosomal RNA", at positions 524 to 776 of the family's 1533-position model. The record is from RNAcentral.